RNAcentral lists this long non-coding RNA (368 nucleotides) under Zonotrichia albicollis (white-throated sparrow). RNAcentral's name for it is "lncRNA (ENSZALG00000003273.1)". Lineage: Eukaryota; Metazoa; Chordata; Aves; Passeriformes; Passerellidae. The record is from RNAcentral.
AGACAAUUAAUUUCUUUCUGCCAUCCACUGCUUUUCAGGCCGUGCAUUGGUCAAAAAGCUACUUUAUCCUGAUUUCCUGGAGGUCUGUUGUUUUUGUCUCCUAAAUGCUGCACCAACUACCAAAGCAAACCAGUUUCCCCCAGGCUUGUGUCCAUCCUCAUCAGUUCAGAGCACAAGCAGCGCUUCAUCCAAGCUGGCCCUGGCACAGGAAGCGCAGGGACCACUCCAUCAAUCUGUUACUGAGGAGCAGCUAGCAAGACUACAGCCCCACUGCUGCUCAGGUGGAAGAGCCUGGCAACAUCAGGUGUAAAGGAAAGGAUUUUUUCUCUCUCUCUUCAAGGAAAAAUCCAUGCCUGAUUGCUCAUGAG